UGGUACCCGAGGCCGGGCCGGAGCCGCAGGCCAGCCGCGAUUCCUUCGGGCGAUGCUGGGGGCUUUCCGGUCGGGGCCGCAGCCGCUUCCGGAGCCGCGGGCGAGGUGCAAGCGGUCUUCUCUGUCUUCUUUAUGGCCAGUAAAAUUCUCCAGAAGAGAUUUAUGGCAGCCUCACUCCCAGUAGUUUCUGCAUUUAGUGAGAUAAGAUGGAAUCUUGCUCUCUUGCUCAGACUGGAGUGCAGUGGCAUGACCUUGGCUCACUGCAACCUCACCUCUCGGGUUCAAGCGAUUCUGCCUCAGCCUCUCGAGUAGCUGGGACUACAGGUGGGAGACCUCCACAGAACCCUUCCAGCAAGCUGUCUUCUAAAGCAAACAAGAAAAGGAAAGUCUGAGCAGUUUUGAUUAGAUUUCCCAGAAGUCAAAGCAAGGAAAAAUGAAAAAGCUUCAUUUCUCACGUUCUUAAAAGAGAGCACAGAUGUUGCAUCAUCUGGUUAGAUACCCUGAGAAUAAAAUCUGGAUCCAGUGAGAGGAAAGAUUCUGGGUGCUCAUGAAAAAAGAAACAAAACAAAACUUGGGAGCCUCUUGAGAGUGUACAGCAUCAGCCCUUGCCAACUCUUGUUUAUAUGCAUUUAACUUUCAGUUAACCAUGGGAAUAAUUCAUGAAAAUCCAAUCUACAAACAAAGGCCAUCCUAACGUUCAUGUUAUUCUUUUCCCUAAGAAUCUUUCACAAGAGCUAUAAUCAAGUAGAAUUAUGCUUUGAUUUGAAUUCUAAUUCAAUUGAAAAUAAAAAAUGAGGGCCGGACGCGGUGGCUCAUGCCUGUAAUCCCAGCGCUUUGGGAGGCUGAGGUGGACGGAUCACGAGGUCAGGAGAUCGAGACCAUCCUGGCUAACACGGUGAAACCCGAUCCCUACUAAAAAUACAAAAAAUUAGCCGGGCGUGGUGGCAGGCGCCUGUAGUCCCAGCUACUCGGGAGGCUGAGGCAGGAGAAUGGCGUGAACCCAGGAGGCAGAGGUUGCAGUGAGCCGAGAUCAUGCUACUGCACUCCAGCCUGGGCGACAGAGCGAGACUCUGUGUAUAAAUAAAUAAAUAAAUAAAUAAAU
Molecule: long non-coding RNA, 1102 nt
Filed under: Homo sapiens (human)
Lineage: Eukaryota; Metazoa; Chordata; Mammalia; Primates; Hominidae
Description: non-protein coding LINC01184:13
Source: RNAcentral